Acinonyx jubatus (cheetah) is the source of this 1628-nucleotide long non-coding RNA. RefSeq lists it as uncharacterized. The record is from RefSeq and is a predicted model, not a curated record. The transcript has 3 exons. NCBI's taxonomy places the organism in Eukaryota, Metazoa, Chordata, Mammalia, Carnivora, Felidae.
AAGGACUUUAGUGGAGAUGAGCUGUCACUCGCUAUUAAAAGUUCAAAGUCAAAUUUGCAGUCCACUUCUGGCAAGGAAGACAGAGCUGCGUGAUUGCACAGGAGCAGGAGACCAUUUCGGAAGCUCUUAGAGUUGUCCAGGCCACCAGACCUGUGAUGGGGUGUUAGCCAUGCAGGCCUCUAACAUUUUGUGGGCCAUUGCAAAGCUCGCAUUCUUCGUGCCUGUGGAGCUUCAUGAUGCAAACAGCCAUGAUCAGGCCUGUCCGGGUGGUCCAGGCUCGCCAAAUUCUAGUGAGUGACACGGUCUCCAUGUCACUGCGUGUGCACACAGGAGUGCUGUCACCUACUGAAGGUUUCCCAACAUGGCCCAUGGUGUAAACCCACGUCUCCCCCACACUCCCUCCUGCUCUGGGAACCCUGAGCCACUAGAUAAAGGAGUUAAGCCCCGAGAGUGCAGACAGGACUUCCUGCACUGCCUGCCUUCCUCUUAUUUGCAGGUUCCUUUCCACUCCACACUCCUCCAUGCCCUGGGCCUUGGGUCUAGAAAAGUCAAGUCAGAGCUUGAGGCAGCAGAAAUUCUGGGCCCUGAAUUUCUCAUGGCUGCCCCAGGGCCAUGGCAUGCCCUCUCCUGAGGAUCCUGAUGCCAGAGUCUGGGGCUGAGGGUGGAGUGUAGGCCAGAAAGAGAACGUCCUAGAAAGGGUUCACGACUACCACAUUCAGGAAUACUGGGGCAAAGAGAUGGGAAUGAAGUUGGGAACAGGAGGGAGAAAGUGGAGGGGAAGGAGCUAGCGGGAAGCAUCUGGGAGGACAGGCCUGCACCAGUGCACAGCCCACAAGGGCAGCCUCGCCCACCUCUGUUCUUGCCAGGGCUGCAGUGUGCAUUCCAGCAACCGCACAGGUCACCCUGCUUCAUCCUUUCUAGCAUUGUUCAUGCCUGUCCUCCUCCCUUCUUUUCCCAUCUCUGUAUGUCCAGCACCCCUUGGAGACACAGGCGUCCUCCCCACAUCUGGAGACUUUUGAAACUAAGACAGCAAACCGGGGAAUUGAAGACAUUAGCUCUGAAGUCACGCUGCUUGGGCUCAAGGGCCAGAUCUGUUCAUAAUCAUUGGUGCACCUGGGCAGAUUUCUUAAUGUGCUUGUGCCUCAGUUUCUCACAUGUAAAACGGGGUGGUAGUAGUUCCUCCUUCACCAGAUUGUGGUAAAGUUUCCUGCUAAAUGCCCAGCAUGUGAUAAGGACUCCACAAAUGCUUCGUUGUUAUUAUUUGAAAGAAUUGUUAAAACAGGAUCCCAAAAUUGUGGCAUAUUUUCAUGUUUACAUUACCAAAUUCUAAUUCAAAACACAAUGGCAUAUAACUGCUAUUCACAGGUAAUUACAAGAGUGUGUUUGUUUGUUUGUUUGUUUUUUAAUUAAUUCAUAGCACCCAAGAGGUAUUAUGGUCCAAUCAUAGGACUUGAGUUUAGAGUUGAAUGAGAAACAUUUGUAUCUAUGACUAUAUAUAAGACCUCUUUGCAAACAAUGUCAAAAUUAUGAAUUUGAGAUCCUUUGUGAAUGUGUGUCCCUAUGCCAAAUACUUUCCCUGUCCUUUGCUAACCCCCAUUCCCUCCCACAUUCAUAUCUUCAGAUGACCA